AUUGAACGCUGGCGGCAGGCCUAACACAUGCAAGUCGAGCGGAUGAAGGGAGCUUGUGCUUGGAUUCAGCGGCGGACGGGCGGGUAAGGAAUAGGAAUCUGCCUGGUCGUGGGGGCUAAGGUAAGGUAACGGGAGCUAAUCUAGCAUACGUUCAGAGGUAGAAAGUCGGGGAUCAUCAGACAAAGCGCUAUCAGCUGACACUAGGUGAGAUUAGCUAGUUGGUGUGGUAAAGGCCUACCAAGGCGACGAUCCGUAACUGAUCUGAGAGGAUGAUCAGUCACACUGGAACUGAGACACGGUCCAGACUCCUACGGGAGGCAGCAGUAGGGAAUAUUGGACAAUGGGCGAAAGCCUGAUCCAGCAAUGCUGCGUGUGUGAAGAAGGUCUUCGGAUCGUAAAGCUCUUUAAUUUGGGAGGAACAUAAGUAAGUUAAUAUCUUGCUAUUUUGACGUUACCAACAGAGAAAGCACCGGCUAACUUCGUG
RNAcentral lists this ribosomal RNA (484 nucleotides) under uncultured bacterium. Its description in RNAcentral is "partial 16S ribosomal RNA". It matches the Rfam family "Bacterial small subunit ribosomal RNA", at positions 30 to 507 of the family's 1533-position model. The record is from RNAcentral.